UGGGGAAUAUUGCACAAUGGGGGAAACCCUGAUGCAGCGACGCCGCGUGAGCGAAGAAGGUUUUCGAAUCGUAAAGCUCUGUCCUAUGAGAAGAUAAUGACGGUAUCAUAGGAGGAAGCCCCGGCUAAAUACGUGCCAGCAGCCGCGGUAAUACGUAUGGGGCGAGCGUUGUCCGGAAUUAUUGGGCGUAAAGGGUACGUAGGCGGUCUAUUAAGUCAGGUGUGAAAGCGUGAGGCUUAACCUCAUUAAGCACUUGAAACUGAUAGACUUGAGUGAAGGAGAGGAAAGUGGAAUUCCUAGUGUAGCGGUGAAGUCCGUAGAUAUUAGGAGGAAUACCGGUGGCGAAGGCGGCUUUCUGGACUUUUACUGACGCUCAGGUACGAAAGCGUGGGGAGCAAACAGG
This 403-nucleotide ribosomal RNA is filed under the name Verrucomicrobiota bacterium. RNAcentral describes it as "Verrucomicrobia bacterium partial 16S ribosomal RNA". It matches the Rfam family "Bacterial small subunit ribosomal RNA", at positions 355 to 776 of the family's 1533-position model. Lineage: Bacteria; Pseudomonadati; Verrucomicrobiota. The record is from RNAcentral.